UUUUGGGGGGAUGGGCUUUAAAUGUUUUUAAGGAGGCUUGGCCCCUCCAGCCCCCCCUAAGUGCACCUAUGUGGCCUGGUGGGGGGAAAAAAUUGACCUCUUUAUUUGCUUGCACACCCUUAAAAAGAAACUGAAAUGGCGCCCCUGACUCCUAGAGUUUUGAAGACUCAAGUCACCACUGGCCGUUCGCACACAAAAAUAAAGACGUCGGUGAGCGGCAACGAUCGUAAAGUCGUCUCGGCCUCACGUUGAAUCGUAAGGAAUAUAAAAACCGCAAUUGUUGUUAUCACUUCGACGUCGAACGGCUAACUUUAUCGGUGUACGGCCGGCGGAAAAGACGUGCGCGUCCGCGGUCGCGUUAUCUCAUCACGAGAUAUGACUUAUCAACGAGGAUCGCGAACGAUAUAUCUUGAUUCGUGCACGACCGUCAUAAAGCUGAACGGCGUCCACUUGUUCAGCAUUACCCGUGAACUGUGACGGUUCGCCGAAAGUUUACGCUUUUGUACGCUUCUCGUUUUCUCGAGAUCCUCACCAAAUUAGCGUUCGUCGUAAUAAUUGUUACCGGCCAGUACGUACUCUGCCGGUCGAGCGCUCUAUCGCGAUGUACCGAAAGCGCCGGCAACGUUUUCCAGUUGUAGUUCCUAACCCGAAUGCCGUAAAAAAGUCGUCGACGACCGUGUGAAAGACAUUUGCGAACCCUUUCAAACACCACCUCCGCCAUCGUGGACAUGGAUUUUUUUGCACUGCUCACCUUCAUCAUCAUCUUCUAUAUCGUCCUCCUGUUUCUGGAUGUCACGUUCAAAUCUUGUUCGCAUUACCCGUACUUAACAUUCUUACAAAAGACCGGACUGAGUGUUGGACCUUUCCAAUUACGAUGGUAUACAACUUUGUUGAACCGUCUGAUAUUGAAAAUGUCAUUUUGGAAUCCAAAGUUCCAGACUAACUGGUUUACUUUUGGAUCCUGGGUAACUAUAUGCCUGAUUGUGCCAUCUGUGUGCCUUGUUAUUGUGUCGUCUGCUCAGUUGUGUAAGAAAAUAUUCACAGAGCCCACUAAUGAAUCUACCAUGAACCAGCAAGAGAUGUAUUUGGAGCCAGUCGUACCCGGAGUGAAUCUGCCAACAUCAGACUUGAGUUAUUAUGUACUGGCACUAAUGUUUUCAACUAUUUUUCAUGAACUAGGACAUGCAUUAGCUGCAAUCAGGGAAGACAUGCACAUUGAUGGAGUGGGCCUGAUGUUCAUUUUGAUUUUACCAGUGGCUUAUGUCCAUUUGGAAGAUAUUACCUCGUUGCCAAGUAGCAAACAGCUUCGGAUCAUGUCUGCUGGCGUUUGGCAUAAUAUAGUUCAAGCCAUUACUGCAUACCUUGUUCUAUUACUCUUGCCCUAUAUGCUAUUUCCAUUUUUCACUAUAGGGAGUGGUGUUGUAACCACCAACAUAAAUCAGAAAUCUGGUGUAAAUGGCCAAGGAGGACUAGUAAUUGGUGAUGUAAUUACAAAGUUAGGGAAUUGUGAUGUAAGUGAUUUUAAAUCAUGGUUAGACUGUUUAAAUCGUACUAUGACCAGUGUGGACUCUGGGUUUUGCCUAUCACCAGAAUUUGUUCAACAUCAUGAUGAAACAAAAUCAGUACAUUAUGUUGAUGAAAAUGUCAUAAACUGCUGUGAUCCAAAUUCAAAGACUAAUUUAUGUUUUGAAUAUAUCGAAUCACUUUCAAAUCCUCAAGAACUUCCAAAUCAUUCUUGUCUGAAUGUCAGAAAAGUUAUAGAAAGGUCAACUUCACUUUGUGAUGCCGAUAACCAGUGCUCAUCAGCGCAUUGCUAUUAUCCUGCUAUCCAUAAAAACCAUAAGCUUGUUGUUAUUGAACGUCAGAAUAAAAAUGAAGUUUUAUUCCUUGGACCACCAAUUGAAUUACAUUACAUAUCUGUGACACAAUAUGUACCCAAGACUGAUUAUUUCUUUUAUAAUAUACCUGAAUCAAUUGAAAAAUUUUGUGCUUACGGAUUUGUGGGUACCAGAUGAUUUUUACAAAUUCCCAUUACUCGAAAAAAAAUAAGAAACGAGGCUUACGGUUUCAACAUAAAUGGCUGAAAGAGUUAAAUUGGCUGGCAUAUUCAAAUGUAAAAAAUGGUACUUUUUGUAAAUACUGUAUCCUGUUUACAAGAAUAGUGGGAUUGGAAGUUAACCUUUAGGGAAUCUUGUUACUGUCGCAUUCACUAACUGGAAGAAAGCAAAUAGGUAUAUAGAGUUAAUUCCAGUUUAAAAUAUCAUACUUCUUCUGUACUAGAUUCUGAGCAAUUUUUGAAAAUAAUG
RNAcentral lists this unclassified non-coding RNA (2306 nucleotides) under Sipha flava (yellow sugarcane aphid). Its description in RNAcentral is "membrane-bound transcription factor site-2 protease, transcript variant X2". The record is from RNAcentral. Lineage: Eukaryota; Metazoa; Arthropoda; Insecta; Hemiptera; Aphididae.